This 301-nucleotide ribosomal RNA is filed under the name uncultured bacterium. RNAcentral's name for it is "partial 16S ribosomal RNA". It matches the Rfam family "Bacterial small subunit ribosomal RNA", at positions 509 to 809 of the family's 1533-position model. The record is from RNAcentral.
CAGUCGCCACGGUAAUACGGAGGGUGCAAGCGUUAAUCGGAAUUACUGGGCGUAAAGCGCACGCAGGCGGUCUGACAAGUCAGAUGUGAAAUCCCCGGGCUUAACCUGGGAACUGCAUUUGAAACUGUCAGGCUGGAGUCUUGUAGAGGGGGGUGGAAUUCCAGGUGUAGCGGUGAAAUGCGUAGAGAUCUGGAGGAAUACCGGUGGCGAAGGCGGCCCCCUGGACAAAGACUGACGCUCAGGUGCGAAAGCGUGGGGAGCAAACAGGAUUAGAUACCCCAGUAGUCCUGUCUCUUAUACA